CAGGUCAAAAUCUAAUCACCAAGGUGAUGGUGGUAAAGCAUGGGACUGUAAGGAGGUGAUCAGGGCACACUGGCAGAGUUCCCAAGUAACAUUUAUACCUCCACAAGGGAGAUCCCAGAGGACUCUUCCUAUCCAUUCCUACAGGAACAGAGAAGAUUAGAGCAAUUCAACCCCAAGUCAAGGAAUGCUGGGAGCCAACAGAAGCUAGGGAAGCAGAGAAGACCCUGCAGAGCCAGCCCCGCUCUGACAACACCUCUCUUUGAACUUGGACCCUUAAGAAGAAAAGAUUGGCCAAGGGUGCUGAAGUUUAGAGAUACUAUGGAUGAUAAAAGGAUGCACCUGCUUCAGCCACAGAGAAAAAAGCUGAGAUACUCUGAACUGACAAGCCCAUCUUCAGACUGUGUGCCAGAGAGUUCCCUGCUCAC
Molecule: long non-coding RNA, 425 nt
Organism: Mastomys coucha (southern multimammate mouse)
Lineage: Eukaryota; Metazoa; Chordata; Mammalia; Rodentia; Muridae
Exons: 3
Source: RefSeq, a predicted model, not a curated record